AUACGGAGGGUGCAAGCGUUAAUCGGAAUUACUGGGCGUAAAGCGCGCGUAGGCGGCUCUGUAAGUCGGAUGUGAAAGCCCUGGGCUUAACCUGGGAAUUGCAUUCGAAACUGCAGGGCUAGAGUAUGGUAGAGGGAAGUGGAAUUUCCGGUGUAGCGGUGAAAUGCGUAGAUAUCGGAAGGAACACCAGUGGCGAAGGCGACUUCCUGGGCCAAUACUGACGCUGAGGUGCGAAAGCGUGGGGAGCAAACAGGAUUAGAAACCCCGGUAGUCC
Molecule: ribosomal RNA, 274 nt
Filed under: uncultured bacterium
Lineage: Bacteria
Description: partial 16S ribosomal RNA
Rfam family: Bacterial small subunit ribosomal RNA
Source: RNAcentral